RNAcentral lists this ribosomal RNA (206 nucleotides) under uncultured bacterium. RNAcentral describes it as "partial 16S ribosomal RNA". It matches the Rfam family "Bacterial small subunit ribosomal RNA", at positions 568 to 774 of the family's 1533-position model. The record is from RNAcentral.
UGCGUAGGUGGUGAGGUAAGUCGGAUGUGAAAGCUCGGAGCUCAACUCCGAAAUGGCAUUGGAAACUACCUUGCUAGAGGGUUGGAGGGGGGACUGGAAUGCUUGGUGUAGCAGUGAAAUGCGUAGAUAUCAAGCGGAACACCAGUGGCGAAGGCGAGUCCCUGGACAACUCCUGACACUGAGGCACGAAAGCUAGGGAGCAAACA